GGGUAGGAGGUAAGUGGGAGGGAGGAAGGGAGAGAGGGUGGGUGAGGGAGAGGGGAGACGGCGUGAAGGAAGGGGGCCUUUGGCAGAAUACAAACCCCCCCCUACCCCCUUCCCCGUCUCUUCCCCUCCCUCGUCUCUUGUCACCCUUUCUUCUCCUCCACAGUCUCACACCCUCCUUCCAUCCUCUCUGUCCUCUAAUCUCAUUCCCCCUCCUUCCCCCUUUUUCUCACCC
Xyrichtys novacula (pearly razorfish) is the source of this 232-nucleotide non-coding RNA. NCBI's taxonomy places the organism in Eukaryota, Metazoa, Chordata, Actinopteri, Labriformes, Labridae. The record is from the annotation of a GenBank genome assembly.